Esox lucius (northern pike) is the source of this 533-nucleotide long non-coding RNA. Lineage: Eukaryota; Metazoa; Chordata; Actinopteri; Esociformes; Esocidae. The record is from Ensembl.
UGUGUACCCAGUUUGUAUAUUAUAUUUCGAUCAAGUGAAAUUCGCUUCAGGUAAAAAAAUCCGAGAUUUUAUGGUGUCGGUUUCACUGCCCACCCCGGCAUGGCCACAGACCAGCAUUCUGGCUCCCAUCUCCACCCAGAUGGACAGAGGACAGACAGGCAACUCCGACAAGAUGGGAACCUUUAGACAGGUUCUGAUUACUAAUGGAGUUCAGACAGAAGAAACCAACUGGACUGCUAACAAUGAGGUAGAGGAGAUUAUCAUCCUGCCAGAUGAGGAAAGAUUUCAGGUGAAACAAGAGAAGGAAGACUUAAAGCUAGAGGAGAUCAAAGAACAGGAGAAUGACACAGAGGAUGGGAAGACAAGCAGCGAGUGCCUCAAGACGAGGUUUAUCAGGUGGCUGAGGAGGAUGUGCUGCUGUGCCUGCUUCCCUGAAAUCUGCAGCUGAAAUCUCCUUCCCACUGCAGCCCCCAAGAGCUCACACACAUACACACCAAAGUCUAACUCAGCUAUAUAAACUGGGGGAAAUUCUG